Molecule: long non-coding RNA, 3023 nt
Filed under: Homo sapiens (human)
Lineage: Eukaryota; Metazoa; Chordata; Mammalia; Primates; Hominidae
Description: HSALNT0314147
Source: RNAcentral
CCCUGCUCUCCCGCGAGGGCCGGGAGGGCUCCGGGACCUUGCAGACUCCACGCGCCUCACGGCUCCUCCAGCUCCUCGGAUCUUUCUCCUUGCGUCGCCGCCGAGUCCCCUGGGGCGGCCCCGCCUCCGGCCGUCUCCUCAGAGACCUUCCCUGGGGGGCGCCUUCCCCUCAGCGCCCCUUCCCGGGCCUCGAGCCAGCGGCUGCCGCAGGAGCUGGCCCCGGGGCGAGGAGCUUCAGAUUCAGGUCCCUAGCCGGCCUCGGUAAGGAGACUGGAAGGAUUCUCCGCGAAUGCUCAUUUUUAUUUCUGGAGUGGCGUCGGAGUUACCAAUUAGUUUUCUUAUUUUAUACUCUCUGGAGUUGCCAAAUUCUUUACGUUGAGCUUUUGCUUAUUUUAUAAUCAGAAAGACAAGUACGUUUCUUUUUCCAAGAAUGCUUACAGGAGGCCACAAACAAGAUGUUCGCACCCAGCCCACUGUCUUCCGCUUAAAAAUAUGUGUGAGAUGUUGUGUUUAAGACACCCUCAAGGAGAAACAUAGAGGGGAGACCUGGAAAUGGUCUUGGGAAUCCACUUAGACUUUCCAUAUUAUAUUUGUUUCAUUUAUUUUAAAAUCUCAGACCUAUUUAUGUGCAUUAGGACAUUCCACAUUUUUACAACUGCGCAGAGGAAAUCUUUGGUUGUAGAGGACGGGAAGAGAGAGGCCAGGUCCGCAGACCCCACUGUGACAAGACAGUGGCUACAUUCUUAACUGUUUUACACAUUGUGAUACCCAAAGACUUCUUUUCACAGGAUUCUACUGAGGGGGAAAACAAGAGGAAGAAAGAAAGAUAGACAAGGUUUUCCUCAAGGCAGUAAGCAAAAAGCUGGUUUCUCAGAAGAAAGAAUUAUGUCUGAGAUUUUACCCAGGACUCUCCAGAUCUCUCAUUCUACACAGAAGGACCCUUUCAUUUGGAACGUGCAGAAACUGAGGAGGACCAUCUCUCUCCUCCAUGGGGGCUGCCUGAGUUAAAAAGGCCUGGGUCCAUCUUUUUUCCGUAGGAGAGCUGACUUCAGAGUCUAGAGCCAAAUCUUCACUUCUGUGGCUCUAGAUUGAGGAUUUGCCCUUCUGAUCUCUGUGGGGCUUUUUUUUUUUAACCUGGGAAUUCCCCUGGGCUCUUCGGCUGUUAUUCUCAUCAACCCCUCUCUAUAUUCUGCAAGACAUUGAAAUCUUUCUCCCAGCUUGGCCCCCACCUCCAAUCCCAGUAUUCUCUUUUCUGAGAUUGGAGUAUUUCCAACCCCUCAGUUGCCAGGCACUGAAGGUUUUCAUCUUCCAGGCCUGCCAUGUUUACCUCUGAGAUGUUUCUGGCAACUGUCCACUUCUCUGCAUUCUCACACUGCUGCUCUUGAUAAGCUUCGAUUAUCUGGGGCUGAAUUGUUUCAAUAAUUUCCUAACUGAUUUUCUUGCCUCCUAUCUGUCCCCACCACCAACAUAGACUUAAGAAUGUCACUCUCUUGACAAAACAAGCCAACAUCCUCUAUCCUCUGUCCCACUCCCAAACCUGCAGUAACUUUCCUGUGCAAUUGUAAUACAGUGUAAACUUUCAUAAGGAUGGGGAGUGGCCAAGAUGGCUGACCAGAAGCAGGUAAUGUACAUGGCUCUCACGGAGAGGAACAGAAGGGACGAGUAGAUACAACACCUUCAACUGAAACAUCCGGGUACUCGCAUUGGGAUUAAUCAAGGAAACAACCUGACCCACAGAGAACAAGGAAAAGCAAGACAGGACAACAGCCCACCUGGGAGCAACAGGGAACCAGGGGAUCUUCCCCUGCCCAGGGAAGUGGUGGGACCUCCCAACCAGGGUCUUCAGCCACUUCCUACAGGUGCCUUUGGGCCAGCAACAGGUCCAUACCUCCCUGGGACAAAGCUCCCAGGGGGAGGGACAGGCUGCCAUAUUUGCUGUAUCAUAACCUUCACUGGUGACACCUCCAAGUUCUGGAAAAUCUGAGGUGACUAGGGACUGGAGCAGGCCCUAAGCAUACCAGAGCAGCCCUGUAGAAAAGUGGCCAGACUGUUUCAUGGGUGCCUAUUCCCAUAUCUCCUCACUGGCAGGUCCUCCAGGCCUCGGCCUCCAGCCACUCCCCACCAGAGCUAUCCAGCCAAUACCAACUCAGCGACUUCCAGGACAGUGCCUCCAGGGGCAAUUGAAAGGGUCUUAGCCACUGCCUCUGCUGUGGAACUCCCCUUGCCACCCUUGGACUAAAGAAGGAGCAAAGACCCUAAGUGCCUUUUCCAUACCAACAAGCUGCAGUAGACCCAAGGAAAGGAGACCAGUCCAUCUCCCAUGUGUUCCACACUGCUCACUGGACAGGCAACCCCUGGCUUGGGUCCAAAGCACGAACCCUCCUUCUUGGGCUGAUUGCACUGAGCAAUUGGUAACCUGCAUUUUUCUGGGGGUAGAGCCCCCAGGAGUCAAGCAAAUGACUCUCGGCCACAGCACCUACUAAGAUGAGCCUCUGCUACUUCUAAGCUGGGGAAGGAACAUAAACACAGAUCACUCCAGAGCUGCAGUGGGCAGUCCAGGGGUGCUAAGUCGUGAACUACAGCCAGCACUCAAGGGGGAGAGGAACCCACACUUUCGGAGCACUGAGAGGGAACACAGCUGCAACUGUGAAGAAACAUACAGGAGCAGGAGUCUACCAAUUGACCAAUAAGCCUAAGUGUCACCUGCAGGAUCACACCCCAAAGCUUCAACACGAAAAAUAUUUCACUAACAUACACACCUCUGAAACCAGAGACAAGAAGUCAGCUUCAAAUAAAGACCCUAUAGAAAGCCUCAGCACAGUGAAAACAUCCAAAAAAGAAGUCUGUUGACUGUAGUCAAUCUACGUUGCAGUCAAAUGAACACCCACACACAGAGAUGAGAAAGAACCAAUGCAAGAACUCUGGUUACUCAAAUGGCCAGAGUAUCAUACGUCCUCCAAACGAUCACACCAGUUCUCCAGCAAGAGUUCUUAACCAGGCUGAACUGGCUGGAAUAACAGAAA